Long non-coding RNA from Sinocyclocheilus anshuiensis, 289 nucleotides. RefSeq lists it as uncharacterized. Lineage: Eukaryota; Metazoa; Chordata; Actinopteri; Cypriniformes; Cyprinidae. The transcript is spliced from 3 exons. The record is from RefSeq and is a predicted model, not a curated record.
UCAGGAAAGUCAUUUCAGAGCAACUUUGUGGUAGAAAUCCAGACCCUACUGAGGAGACUUCGACCUGCAUAUUCCUAAAUAAGACGACCUUCGUAGGAGCAGCCACUCAGCAGGAUUGUGACGCAUUAUUUCUGACACUGUAAGAACUUCGUUGGAGGCUAAGAUUCAUCACAAGGCAUAAUAGGCGUGGGGAAUAAUUGUUCGCUGGUACAUGCCGUGGGGAAGCCGGAGUUGCGCUGACUUGCAUGCGCUUUGGAUCAAAAUACAGUACCUCCUGAACAAAUAUAAU